ACAAACCAAAGAAAAUCCAACACACAGCUUCCUUACUCAGCUCACUCGUCGCUCCUAUCCGCAAUAAAUCUCAAAUGGCACCUCAUGCCAACCGCCUUGUCGAAGUUGGAAGAGACGGGUUUGCAAUGCUGGACAGAAUUUACGGCCCAAAGCCGAUGGCUCAAGGGGCGGGAAAUCGAUGCGUCCCACAACAAUCCCACGAGGCGGUUCGCAACACAGCGGCUCUUUAUCGUGAUGAUGUUGUGGAUAGCAAGACGGCAGCGAAGAUGUACGGGGGACUGGUCAUUACGGAGAUCCGCAAGAGCAAAGUUCCUGGUCGGAGUCAUUAGAUUCUGUCUUGUACAUGGUUCAGGUAAUACCCUAGUAUUCUAGCGUCUGAAGUUAAGGGAUGUCCGACCUCCGCCAUGUUCUUUCUAAGCUCUGUCCUUUAGACUAGUGCUGCUGUGUACUUAUUCCAACUCUCCUGUGUGAUUAGCUGUGUACUGAAAUCUAUUCUGAAAAGUAGUACAUGCCGUUGCC
Molecule: long non-coding RNA, 519 nt
Filed under: Eucalyptus grandis
Lineage: Eukaryota; Viridiplantae; Streptophyta; Magnoliopsida; Myrtales; Myrtaceae
Description: long non-coding RNA (EGRA_LNC005201)
Source: RNAcentral